AUAUCAUGGUGGGUACAUUGCCUCAAAAUCUCUAUAAAUGUUUCUCACGCGUCAAAUAAGGAUUCAUCAUCUCCUUGUCUAAACGAAGUAAUAUCGUUCCUCAUCUU
Molecule: small nucleolar RNA, 107 nt
Organism: Lathyrus oleraceus (garden pea)
Lineage: Eukaryota; Viridiplantae; Streptophyta; Magnoliopsida; Fabales; Fabaceae
Source: RefSeq, a predicted model, not a curated record